RNAcentral lists this ribosomal RNA (1554 nucleotides) under Staphylococcus aureus. RNAcentral describes it as "16S ribosomal RNA". It matches the Rfam family "Bacterial small subunit ribosomal RNA". The record is from RNAcentral. Lineage: Bacteria; Bacillati; Bacillota; Bacilli; Caryophanales; Staphylococcaceae.
UUUAUGGAGAGUUUGAUCCUGGCUCAGGAUGAACGCUGGCGGCGUGCCUAAUACAUGCAAGUCGAGCGAACGGACGAGAAGCUUGCUUCUCUGAUGUUAGCGGCGGACGGGUGAGUAACACGUGGAUAACCUACCUAUAAGACUGGGAUAACUUCGGGAAACCGGAGCUAAUACCGGAUAAUAUUUUGAACCGCAUGGUUCAAAAGUGAAAGACGGUCUUGCUGUCACUUAUAGAUGGAUCCGCGCUGCAUUAGCUAGUUGGUAAGGUAACGGCUUACCAAGGCAACGAUGCAUAGCCGACCUGAGAGGGUGAUCGGCCACACUGGAACUGAGACACGGUCCAGACUCCUACGGGAGGCAGCAGUAGGGAAUCUUCCGCAAUGGGCGAAAGCCUGACGGAGCAACGCCGCGUGAGUGAUGAAGGUCUUCGGAUCGUAAAACUCUGUUAUUAGGGAAGAAUAUAUGUGUAAGUAACUGUGCACAUCUUGACGGUACCUAAUCAGAAAGCCACGGCUAACUACGUGCCAGCAGCCGCGGUAAUACGUAGGUGGCAAGCGUUAUCCGGAAUUAUUGGGCGUAAAGCGCGCGUAGGCGGUUUUUUAAGUCUGAUGUGAAAGCCCACGGCUCAACCGUGGAGGGUCAUUGGAAACUGGAAAACUUGAGUGCAGAAGAGGAAAGUGGAAUUCCAUGUGUAGCGGUGAAAUGCGCAGAGAUAUGGAGGAACACCAGUGGCGAAGGCGACUUUCUGGUCUGUAACUGACGCUGAUGUGCGAAAGCGUGGGGAUCAAACAGGAUUAGAUACCCUGGUAGUCCACGCCGUAAACGAUGAGUGCUAAGUGUUAGGGGGUUUCCGCCCCUUAGUGCUGCAGCUAACGCAUUAAGCACUCCGCCUGGGGAGUACGACCGCAAGGUUGAAACUCAAAGGAAUUGACGGGGACCCGCACAAGCGGUGGAGCAUGUGGUUUAAUUCGAAGCAACGCGAAGAACCUUACCAAAUCUUGACAUCCUUUGACAACUCUAGAGAUAGAGCUUUCCCCUUCGGGGGACAAAGUGACAGGUGGUGCAUGGUUGUCGUCAGCUCGUGUCGUGAGAUGUUGGGUUAAGUCCCGCAACGAGCGCAACCCUUAAGCUUAGUUGCCAUCAUUAAGUUGGGCACUCUAAGUUGACUGCCGGUGACAAACCGGAGGAAGGUGGGGAUGACGUCAAAUCAUCAUGCCCCUUAUGAUUUGGGCUACACACGUGCUACAAUGGACAAUACAAAGGGCAGCGAAACCGCGAGGUCAAGCAAAUCCCAUAAAGUUGUUCUCAGUUCGGAUUGUAGUCUGCAACUCGACUACAUGAAGCUGGAAUCGCUAGUAAUCGUAGAUCAGCAUGCUACGGUGAAUACGUUCCCGGGUCUUGUACACACCGCCCGUCACACCACGAGAGUUUGUAACACCCGAAGCCGGUGGAGUAACCUUUUAGGAGCUAGCCGUCGAAGGUGGGACAAAUGAUUGGGGUGAAGUCGUAACAAGGUAGCCGUAUCGGAAGGUGCGGCUGGAUCACCUCCUUUCU